This 26-nucleotide small RNA is filed under the name Arabidopsis thaliana (thale cress). RNAcentral's name for it is "ATSL098960". The record is from RNAcentral. Lineage: Eukaryota; Viridiplantae; Streptophyta; Magnoliopsida; Brassicales; Brassicaceae.
UCCUUCAUUUUGUUUUUCUUCUUUAU